Molecule: ribosomal RNA, 880 nt
Filed under: Agaricus sp.
Lineage: Eukaryota; Fungi; Basidiomycota; Agaricomycetes; Agaricales; Agaricaceae
Description: eukaryotic LSU rRNA
Rfam family: Eukaryotic large subunit ribosomal RNA
Source: RNAcentral
GGAUUCCCCUAGUAACUGCGAGUGAAGCGGGAAAAGCUCAAAUUUAAAAUCUGGCAGUCUCUGGCUGUCCGAGUUGUAAUCUAGAGAAGUAAUGCCCGUGCUGGACCGUGUAUAAGUCUCCUGGGAUGGGGCGUCAUAGAGGGUGAGAAUCCCGUCUUUGACACGGACUACCAGUGCAUUGUGGUAUGCUCUCAAAGAGUCGAGUUGUUUGGGAAUGCAGCUCAAAAUGGGUGGUAAAUUCCAUCUAAAGCUAAAUAUUGGCGAGAGACCGAUAGCGAACAAGUACCGUGAGGGAAAGAUGAAAAGAACUUUGGAAAGAGAGUUAAACAGUACGUGAAAUUGCUGAAAGGGAAACGCUUGAAGUCAGUCGCAUUGGCCGGGAAUCAGCCUUGCUUUUGCAUGGUGUACUUUCUGGUUGAUGGGUCAGCAUCAAUUUUGACCGCUGGAAAAAGGCCUGGGGAAUGUGGCAGCUUCGGCUGUGUUAUAGCCCCUAGUUGCAUACAGUGGUUGGGAUUGAGGAACUCAGCACGCCGCAAGGCCGGGUUUCGACCACGUUCGUGCUUAGGAUGCUGGCAUAAUGGCUUUAAGCGACCCGUCUUGAAACACGGACCAAGGAGUCUAACAUGCCUGCGAGUAUUUGGGUGGAAAACUCAAGUGCGUAAUGAAAGUGAAAGUUGAGAUCCCUGUCGUGGGGAGCAUCGACGCCCGGACCAGAACUUUUGGGACGGAUCCGCGGUGGAGCAUGUAUGUUGGGACCCGAAAGAUGGUGAACUAUGCCUGAAUAGGGUGAAGCCAGAGGAAACUCUGGUGGAGGCUCGUAGCGAUUCUGACGUGCAAAUCGAUCGUCAAAUUUGGGUAUAGGGGCGAAAGACUAAUCGAA